UGUGCCCUACGGGGCGCAGCAGUAGGGAAUCUUCCACAAUGGACGAAAGUCUGAUGGAGCAACGCCGCGUGAGUGAAGAAGGGUUUCGGCUCGUAAAGCUCUGUUGGUAGUGAAGAAAGAUAGAGGUAGUAACUGGCCUUUAUUUGACGGUAAUUACUUAGAAAGUCACGGCUAACUACGUGCCAGCAGCCGCGGUAAUACGUAGGUGGCAAGCGUUAUCCGGAUUUAUUGGGUUUAAAGGGUGCGCAGGCGGAGGGGCAAG
RNAcentral lists this ribosomal RNA (262 nucleotides) under uncultured bacterium. RNAcentral describes it as "partial 16S ribosomal RNA". It matches the Rfam family "Bacterial small subunit ribosomal RNA", at positions 333 to 587 of the family's 1533-position model. The record is from RNAcentral.